RNAcentral lists this ribosomal RNA (405 nucleotides) under uncultured bacterium. Its description in RNAcentral is "bacterial SSU rRNA". It matches the Rfam family "Bacterial small subunit ribosomal RNA", at positions 350 to 751 of the family's 1533-position model. The record is from RNAcentral.
AGCAGUGGGGAAUUUUGGACAAUGGGCGCAAGCCUGAUCCAGCAAUGCCGCGUGAGUGAAGAAGGCCUUCGGGUUGUAAAGCUCUUUUGUCAGGGAAGAAACGGUGAGGGCUAAUAUCUCUUGCUAAUGACGGUACCUGAAGAAUAAGCACCGGCUAACUACGUGCCAGCAGCCGCGGUAAUACGUAGGGUGCAAGCGUUAAUCGGAAUUACUGGGCGUAAAGCGUGCGCAGGCGGUUUUGUAAGUUUGUCGUGAAAGCCCCGGGCUCAACCUGGGAAUUGCGAUGAAGACUGCAAGGCUUGAAUCUGGCAGAGGGGGGUAGAAUUCCACGUGUAGCAGUGAAAUGCGUAGAGAUGUGGAGGAACACCGAUGGCGAGCAGCCCCUGGGUCAGAUUGACGCUCAUG